RNAcentral lists this ribosomal RNA (422 nucleotides) under uncultured bacterium. RNAcentral describes it as "bacterial SSU rRNA". It matches the Rfam family "Bacterial small subunit ribosomal RNA", at positions 356 to 794 of the family's 1533-position model. The record is from RNAcentral.
GGGGAAUUUUCCGCAAUGGGCGCAAGUCUGACGGAGCGACGCCGCGUGCGGGAUGAAGGCCCUCGGGUUGUAAACCGCUGUCAGAGGGGAGGAAAUUUUGACCGAUCCUCAGAGGAAGCGCAGGCUAAGUUCGUGCCAGCAGCCGCGGUAACACGAACUGCGCGAACGUUAUUCGGAAUCACUGGGCUUAAAGAGUUCGUAGGCGGCUUGGUCAGUCAGAUGUGAAAUCCCACAGCCCAACUGUGGAACUGCGUUUGAUACUGCCAAGCUUGAGGGAGUUAGAGGAAAGCGGAACUGAUGGUGGAGCGGUGAAAUGCGUUGAUAUCAUCAGGAACACCGGUGGCGAAAGCGGCUUUCUGGAGCUCUUCUGACGCUGAGGAACGAAAGCUAGGGGAGCGAAAGGGAUUAGAUACCCCUGUAGU